RNAcentral lists this ribosomal RNA (732 nucleotides) under Vibrio sp. RNAcentral's name for it is "bacterial SSU rRNA". It matches the Rfam family "Bacterial small subunit ribosomal RNA", at positions 56 to 768 of the family's 1533-position model. The record is from RNAcentral. Lineage: Bacteria; Pseudomonadati; Pseudomonadota; Gammaproteobacteria; Vibrionales; Vibrionaceae.
UGCAAGUCGAGCGGAACGGCACUAACAAUCCUUCGGAUGAUUUAUUGGACGUCGAGCGGCGGACGGGUGAGUAAUGCUUAGGAAUUUGCCCAGUCGAGGGGGAUAACCAUUGGAAACGAUAGCUAAUACCGCAUACGCCCUACGGGGGAAAAGAGGGGACCUUCGGGCCUUCUGCGAUUGGAUAAGCCUAAGUGAGAUUAGCUAGUUGGUGAGGUAAUGGCUCACCAAGGCGACGAUCUCUAGCUGGUCUGAGAGGAUGAUCAGCCACACUGGAACUGAGACACGGUCCAGACUCCUACGGGAGGCAGCAGUGGGGAAUAUUGCACAAUGGGCGCAAGCCUGAUGCAGCCAUGCCGCGUGUGUGAAGAAGGCCUUCGGGUUGUAAAGCACUUUCAGUCGUGAGGAAGGUAGUUGCGUUAAUAGCGCAAUUAUUUGACGUUAGCGACAGAAGAAGCACCGGCUAACUCCGUGCCAGCAGCCGCGGUAAUACGGAGGGUGCGAGCGUUAAUCGGAAUUACUGGGCGUAAAGCGCAUGCAGGUGGUUUGUUAAGUCAGAUGUGAAAGCCCCAGGCUCAACCUGGGAAGGUCAUUUGAAACUGGCAAACUAGAGUACUGUAGAGGGGGGUAGAAUUUCAGGUGUAGCGGUGAAAUGCGUAGAGAUCUGAAGGAAUACCAGUGGCGAAGGCGGCCCCCUGGACAGAUACUGACACUCAGAUGCGAAAGCGUGGGGAG